UACGGGGGGGGCAAGCGUUAAUCGGAAUUACUGGGCGUAAAGCGUGCGCAGGCGGCUUUGCAAGACAGAUGUGAAAUCCCCGGGCUUAACCUGGGAACUGCAUUUGUGACUGCAUGGCUGGAGUGCGGCAGAGGGGGAUGGAAUUCCGCGUGUAGCAGUGAAAUGCGUAGAUAUGCGGAGGAACACCGAUGGCGAAGGCAGUCCCCUGGGCCUGUACUGACGCUCAUGCACGAAAGCGUGGGGAGCAAACAGG
This 253-nucleotide ribosomal RNA is filed under the name uncultured bacterium. Its description in RNAcentral is "partial 16S ribosomal RNA". It matches the Rfam family "Bacterial small subunit ribosomal RNA", at positions 524 to 776 of the family's 1533-position model. The record is from RNAcentral.